GUGUGCUCUGAAAAAAAUAGGGGAACAAAGCAUCACUCUCAGUGCAGAUCUGGCCUAGCUGCAUUGCUGCCUGAGGCCUCCUAGGAAAGGCUGAACGACGUCUGCACCAAGAUCUCAUACCCUGGACAUGAGGAUUAUUUGUGGUUGCAGAGUCACUUGAAUAUGGGGCAGUUGGUUUGCAAACAACAGGAUAUUCGGUGGUGUCAUGAGUUGGGGCCCCUGAAUGUAGCGGAUGUCCCAUAGCAUUGCUGAGAGAUAGCUGUCUCCUGAGACCUACCGAGGAGCUGUGUGUCCUAAAGAAAAAAAAUCACGCAGGUAAAUGGACGUAAGGCUUAAGGCUCAGCGUGAGAAUCAUACUCUGUACAGAAGUAGUGAUUGUGUUGAUAGGAACUGGGGGAAGGGUGCAGCAAAGUAGAGUGGAUAAGCACUUCCAAUGGGACAUCUGUAAACGUCCCUGUAACUGGGAAGAGGGUGUACAGAACUCCCUAGGACUUACAGGCCUCUGUGCCUCCUCUAGCCAAUGUACUGCCACAGCAGCGAAGCCAAAGAUUUUAUGGCUUCCUGUUGCCUCUCUGGGUUGUUUCCCUCAAACCGUAACUGCAAGGCAGAGGCCUCACACGGAGCAAGGGGAGAUUCUGUACUUCAGGGAUGGAUCUUUUGUGUGCUAGCCAUUAUUUUUGGUGACACAAUUGGGCAUACUUUCAUCAUUCCCCAGUUUUGCAGCAAAAGAAUCAGAGUUGAGUUGCCUAAGACAUGGGGAGAGAUUCAUGAUGAAGUCAGUACAGCUUUGUCAGUUGUCUGAAAUUCUAAGAGGAAUAGGGUUUAACACUUAAUAGGAGAAAGUUUCCCCCAACCGCUUCAUUGAGGAACUGACAUAAAUUAAACUUCACUUAUUUAAAGUGCCCAACAUGAUAUAUUUCGAUAUAUGUAUGGGCAUUGAAACCAUCACAUUGUUGUGAUGAUGAAUGUAUCUGUGGCCCCAGUAAGUUUCCCUGUGCCCUUUUCUAUUGCUUGCAGCUCCACCCAAUUUGCCACCUCUACAUAGCCAUUAACUCUAAAUUCAUAAGUAGCCAUAAACAGAUGUUGAAGGUUGAAAAGGUAGCAAACUUCUUGGCCAACAGUCAACUGAACUUAAUAUUUGAGGUAAAAAAGGUGGACUGCAUGCAUGCAAGGGAGAGCUGCGGUUGGCAGACAGCCUCCUAGAAAGCAGCUGGAGCUGCACUUAUGUGAUCUUUUGGGGAGUCAGUCAUUCAGGAACUGGAGGACAUUCAGAAGUCUGUGCUGAAGGAUUUCUGGACUUUGAGCCGUGUUAGUGUGGUCACUACUAUUGGCCGGUUGACUUUCAGAAGCUAGGUCCUUAAGUGAGGCAGUUGAUUGAUUGUUGCCUGGGAUCCUAAGGCUGAUUGGUGGUCUUUCAGAAUGUGGGAUGAGGAGCCAUAAUCCAUCACUUAUUGGUUGAAUUUUGAAAGCUUGUACUUAUCAAUGAUUUGCUAACUGCUUACUUUCAGAGGCUUAAGUUUCACUGUUGAGGCUGUCAUUGACCUGGCGAGCCUCAGAACACAUGUACUCAUUGGAAGUUACUCUUACAAACGAUGAUUAUUUGUUCACGAUUUUGGACUGUGGCCAGUGAGUAAUCAUUUCCCUUUCCUGAAUAUGUAAAAUAAUUCCUUUAAUUCUCAGUAUCUCUUUUUGUUCUUCAAUCACCCAAACCUGAGAGAGAACUCAUAAGGCAUACUCCAAAUCUAACUGCCAGCUUUUUGGAAGGCAUUGCAAAGAGCUGAAUAUAAUAAGAUGUUUAGGGUGUACUGGCAGAGGCAGUAUCCAGAACAAAAUCAUUAAAUACAGGGCAUGUGCUCUAUGCACAGAACAGCUGGCAGUGCUGUUCCCAACAUGUCCAUGCACCUACUAUUGUGGUGGAAUCCCGGCAGGUGCUCGUGGUAUGUUUGUUAGGACACUGAAUGCGCACCACAGAACAGCUUUCUUACUCGCUUUCACCUUUCCAGCAAGUCUACAGAUUGUAUUCACCUGUCCUGUCAAGCGGUUAAUUGCCAGCGCGUUCCUAGUGAAAAAAUCGCAUUUUGGAGAACGGCCUAAUUCAUGUGGGAACUACAUUACCCAGCAGCCACUGCGAUCACCAGCAGCAGAGACGUAGCCAAUGAGAGCAGAGGGACGUCUACGUGCCCGGCGCACCACGUGAGCGGAAAAUACGCAUUUCCCCGUGGCGCUGGUGCAGUCGCUCAGCUCGUUUUCACUUCUUUGGGCCUCUGGAGUGCUGGGUCCCUUCUGACGUGACCGAAUUGAAAAGCGGGACGAGAGACUGGUGCACCGAAGCGACUGAGAAGCCUGACUGGGGACUCUGUGGUGCACUGGUUCCUGAAAUAAACAGGACCCUGUAGAGCCGUCUCAGAGCCUUUAGCACCACCUGAAAUAUUAAAUGGAUCACUCAGAAUUAAAGUGACAUGAUCCUGCUCUUCCUGCUGUUUCCACAUUCUGAAGAACCCCUCAUGACCCCUGCACUGGACUACUUCCAUCUUCUAGUCCAGUUAGAGCUGGGAGGAGAACACUGGGGACACAGACUCCAGGUUGCUGGCAGCAAGCAGAGAGGAUGAGGAGACAGCUUCUGAGCAGGAUGAAGUGCCACAAAUAAGAUUUUCAAAGGCAGUUUCCAUCUAGCUGAGGACCUGGGAACUAUCUCUGGUUGAAAACCUUGUGGGGCAGGUGUGAAACUGCCCCCUCAGUGUAAAGUGUUUAAGAGAGAUGUGCAUAAGGCUCCAUGGUCCCCGCGUCCAAGAAGUCUUUCACAUGCCAACAUGCCAGUGGGCUGGGAGCGAUCCCUCUGGUAGCUGUGGCCUCACCACAAAAGGGCACUGAGUGUGUAAAAGCAUUCAGGAACCAACCCACACUUUUCCAACACCAGCUACUCCACUGGAAAACACCUUUUAGAGCGUAGUGAAGGUGAGGUUUUACACUUUGUUCCCACUAUCACAGACAUGCCUAAUGUGACAAUGUAGAGAACAUUAUGAGUAUACAGUUUUGUAUGCUGAAGUGAAUGACACUUUUUGCCCUGUCAGUAACUAGUUUAUGUUUCGUAAGAUGUUCAUAGUAUUUAUUUGCCUACUGGUAAUGAAUGUGGUAGCUCAGUUUUUUUU
Molecule: non-coding RNA, 3149 nt
Organism: Vicugna pacos (alpaca)
Lineage: Eukaryota; Metazoa; Chordata; Mammalia; Artiodactyla; Camelidae
Source: RefSeq, a predicted model, not a curated record